Molecule: long non-coding RNA, 327 nt
Filed under: Vulpes vulpes (red fox)
Lineage: Eukaryota; Metazoa; Chordata; Mammalia; Carnivora; Canidae
Description: lncRNA (ENSVVUG00000014646.1)
Source: RNAcentral
GGUUAGUAGAGCCUCUCGGGCCAGGGACUCCCUGGUGUGCCUGUAUCCGAUGCCUUCCAUGGCACUUGACAUACAGGACCCCACGCCACAGCCUGUCCUUGGAAGUUUCUCCUUUCCCUUCUUUCUUGUGGGUGUCUCUCCCCUCCAGUGCAGCGUUAUUGCAGAUGGGGUGGAGGAACAUGUUCCAGGGAAGAUUUUUUUCAGCGUCGAAAGGAAAUCAGUACUCAGAAAUUUUGCAAGUCACGCAGGAAAGAUGCUCCUUUUGCUUUCACAGAAAUUUUAAAAAGAUACUAUUGUUGUUUCUGAGCUUCAAAUCGGACCUGUUGC